Molecule: ribosomal RNA, 2892 nt
Filed under: human gut metagenome
Description: bacterial LSU rRNA
Rfam family: Bacterial large subunit ribosomal RNA
Source: RNAcentral
ACUAAGCGUACACGGUGGAUGCCCUGGCAGUCAGAGGCGAUGAAGGACGUGCUAAUCUGCGAAAAGCGUCGGUAAGGUGAUAUGAACCGUUAUAACCGGCGAUGUCCGAAUGGGGAAACCCAGUGCAAUUCGUUGCACUAUCGUUAACUGAAUACAUAGGUUAACGAGGCGAACCGGGGGAACUGAAACAUCUAAGUACCCCGAGGAAAAGAAAUCAACCGAGAUUCCCCCAGUAGCGGCGAGCGAACGGGGAGCAGCCCAGAGUCUGAAUCAGCUUGUGUGUUAGUGGAACGGUCUGGAAAGUCCGACGGUACAGGGUGAUAGUCCCGUACACCAAAAUGCACAGGCUGUGAACUCGAAGAGUAGGGCGGGACACGUGGUAUCCUGUCUGAAUAUGGGGGGACCAUCCUCCAAGGCUAAAUACUCCUGACUGACCGAUAGUGAACCAGUACCGUGAGGGAAAGGCGAAAAGAACCCCGGCGAGGGGAGUGAAAAAGAACCUGAAACCGUGUACGUACAAGCAGUGGGAGCACCUUUAUGGUGUGACUGCGUACCUUUUGUAUAAUGGGUCAGCGACUUAUAUUCUGUAGCAAGGUUAACCGUAUAGGGGAGCCGCAGGGAAACCGAGUCUUAACUGGGCGUUAAGUUGCAGGGUAUAGACCCGAAACCCGGUGAUCUAGCCAUGGGCAGGUUGAAGGUUGGGUAACACUAACUGGAGGACCGAACCGACUAAUGUUGAAAAAUUAGCGGAUGACUUGUGGCUGGGGGUGAAAGGCCAAUCAAACCGGGAGAUAGCUGGUUCUCCCCGAAAGCUAUUUAGGUAGCGCCUCGUGAACUCAUCUUCGGGGGUAGAGCACUGUUUCGGCUAGGGGGUCAUCCCGACUUACCAACCCGAUGCAAACUACGAAUACCGAAGAAUGUUAUCACGGGAGACACACGGCGGGUGCUAACGUCCGUCGUGAAGAGGGAAACAACCCAGACCGCCAGCUAAGGUCCCAAAGUCAUGGUUAAGUGGGAAACGAUGUGGGAAGGCACAGACAGCCAGGAUGUUGGCUUAGAAGCAGCCAUCAUUUAAAGAAAGCGUAAUAGCUCACUGGUCGAGUCGGCCUGCGCGGAAGAUGUAACGGGGCUAAACCAUGCACCGAAGCUGCGGCAGCGACACUAUGUGUUGUUGGGUAGGGGAGCGUUCUGUAAGCCUGCGAAGGUGGCCUGUGAGGGUUGCUGGAGGUAUCAGAAGUGCGAAUGCUGACAUAAGUAACGAUAAAGCGGGUGAAAAGCCCGCUCGCCGGAAGACCAAGGGUUCCUGUCCAACGUUAAUCGGGGCAGGGUGAGUCGACCCCUAAGGCGAGGCCGAAAGGCGUAGUCGAUGGGAAACAGGUUAAUAUUCCUGUACUUGGUGUUACUGCGAAGGGGGGACGGAGAAGGCUAUGUUAGCCGGGCGACGGUUGUCCCGGUUUAAGCAUGUAGGCUGGUUAUCCAGGCAAAUCCGGAUAAUCAAGGCUGAGGUGUGAUGACGAGGCACUACGGUGCUGAAGUAACAAAUGCCCUGCUUCCAGGAAAAGCCUCUAAGCAUCAGGUAACAUCAAAUCGUACCCCAAACCGACACAGGUGGUCAGGUAGAGAAUACCAAGGCGCUUGAGAGAACUCGGGUGAAGGAACUAGGCAAAAUGGUGCCGUAACUUCGGGAGAAGGCACGCUGGUGUGUAGGUGAAGUCCCUGCGGAUGGAGCUGAGACCAGUCGAAGAUACCAGCUGGCUGCAACUGUUUAUUAAAAACACAGCACUGUGCAAACACGAAAGUGGACGUAUACGGUGUGACGCCUGCCCGGUGCCGGAAGGUUAAUUGAUGGGGUUAUCCGUAAGGAGAAGCUCUUGAUCGAAGCCCCGGUAAACGGCGGCCGUAACUAUAACGGUCCUAAGGUAGCGAAAUUCCUUGUCGGGUAAGUUCCGACCUGCACGAAUGGCGUAAUGAUGGCCAGGCUGUCUCCACCCGAGACUCAGUGAAAUUGAACUCGCUGUGAAGAUGCAGUGUACCCGCGGCAAGACGGAAAGACCCCGUGAACCUUUACUAUAGCUUGACACUGAACAUUGAGCCUUGAUGUGUAGGAUAGGUGGGAGGCUUUGAAGCGUGGACGCCAGUCUGCGUGGAGCCAACCUUGAAAUACCACCCUUUAAUGUUUGAUGUUCUAACGUUGGCCCCUUAUCGGGGUUGCGGACAGUGUCUGGUGGGUAGUUUGACUGGGGCGGUCUCCUCCCAAAGCGUAACGGAGGAGCACGAAGGUUAGCUAAUCCUGGUCGGACAUCAGGAGGUUAGUGCAAUGGCAUAAGCUAGCUUGACUGCGAGCGUGACGGCGCGAGCAGGUGCGAAAGCAGGUCAUAGUGAUCCGGUGGUUCUGAAUGGAAGGGCCAUCGCUCAACGGAUAAAAGGUACUCCGGGGAUAACAGGCUGAUACCGCCCAAGAGUUCAUAUCGACGGCGGUGUUUGGCACCUCGAUGUCGGCUCAUCACAUCCUGGGGCUGAAGUAGGUCCCAAGGGUAUGGCUGUUCGCCAUUUAAAGUGGUACGCGAGCUGGGUUUAGAACGUCGUGAGACAGUUCGGUCCCUAUCUGCCGUGGGCGCUGGAGAAUUGAGGGGGGCUGCUCCUAGUACGAGAGGACCGGAGUGGACGCAUCACUGGUGUUCGGGUUGUCAUGCCAAUGGCACUGCCCGGUAGCUAAAUGCGGAAGAGAUAAGUGCUGAAAGCAUCUAAGCACGAAACUUGCCCCGAGAUGAGUUCUCCCUGAGACUUUAAGUCUCCUGAAGGAACGUUGAAGACGACGACGUUGAUAGGCCGGGUGUGUAAGCGCAGCGAUGCGUUGAGCUAACCGGUACUAAUGAACCGUGAGGCUUAACC